AGAAUCAACGCUGGCGGCGUGCCUAACACAUGCAAGUCGAACGCGAAAGGGGAGCAAUCCCUGAUUAGAGUGGCAAACGGGUGAGUAACACGUGGGUGACCUGCCUUCGAGUGGGGGAUAACCUUCCGAAAGGAGGGCUAAUACCGCAUGACAUACCGUGUUUGGAUACAUGGAUAUCAAAGCCGGGGAUCGCAAGACCUGGCGCUUGAAGAGGGGCCCGCGUCCGAUUAGCUAGUUGGUGAGGUAACGGCUCACCAAGGCUCCGAUCGGUA
RNAcentral lists this ribosomal RNA (272 nucleotides) under uncultured soil bacterium. RNAcentral's name for it is "partial 16S ribosomal RNA". It matches the Rfam family "Bacterial small subunit ribosomal RNA", at positions 26 to 285 of the family's 1533-position model. The record is from RNAcentral.